Molecule: ribosomal RNA, 510 nt
Filed under: soil bacterium CAFB-JP4-1
Lineage: Bacteria
Description: bacterial SSU rRNA
Rfam family: Bacterial small subunit ribosomal RNA
Source: RNAcentral
AGGGCCAAGCGUUAUCCGGAAUUAUUGGGCGUAAAGAGCUCGUAGGCGGUUUGUCNCGUCUGCCGUGAAAGUCCGGGGCUCAACUCCGGAUCUGCGGUGGGUACGGGCAGACUAGAGUGAUGUAGGGGAGACUGGAAUUCCUGGUGUAGCGGUGAAAUGCGCAGAUAUCGGGAGGAACACCGAUGGCGAAGGCAGGUCUCUGGGCAUUAACUGACGCUGAGGAGCGAAAGCAUGGGGAGCGAACAGGAUUAGAUACCCUGGUAGUCCAUGCCGUAAACGUUGGGCACUAGGUGUGGGGGACAUUCCACGUUUUCCGCGCCGUAGCUAACGCAUUAAGUGCCCCGCCUGGGGAGUACGGCCGCAAGGCUAAAACUCAAAGGAAUUGACGGGGGCCCGCACAAGCGGCGGANCAUGCGGAUUAAUUCGAUGCAACGCGAAAAAACUUACCAAGGCUUGACAUGAACCGGAAAGAUCUGGAAACAGGUCCCCCACUUGUUGGUCCGGUUUACA